GAUCGAGUACGCAAACUGGCAAAGCGAUCAGGUCGAGAGCCUGGUGAUUUUGUGGGUUCGACUCCCACCUCGAUCA
This 76-nucleotide transfer RNA is filed under the name Planctomycetaceae bacterium. RNAcentral describes it as "tRNA-OTHER". It matches the Rfam family "tRNA". Rfam says of the family: Transfer RNA (tRNA) molecules are approximately 80 nucleotides in length. The record is from RNAcentral. RNAcentral also lists the same sequence under 2 other names. Lineage: Bacteria; Pseudomonadati; Planctomycetota; Planctomycetia; Planctomycetales; Planctomycetaceae.